RNAcentral lists this ribosomal RNA (1295 nucleotides) under uncultured bacterium. Its description in RNAcentral is "bacterial SSU rRNA". It matches the Rfam family "Bacterial small subunit ribosomal RNA", at positions 64 to 1346 of the family's 1533-position model. The record is from RNAcentral.
GAGGGGCAGCGGGGGCGAAGCUUGCUUCGCCUGCCGGCGACCGGCGCACGGGUGAGUAACACGUAUGCGACCUGCCCCCCGCAGGGGGAUAACCGGGAGAAAUCCCGACUAAUACCGCGUAACGCCGCUGGGCUGCAUGGCCCGGCGGCCAAAGGAAGCGAUUCCGGCGGGGGAUGGGCAUGCGGCGCAUUAGCUAGUCGGCGGGGUAACGGCCCACCGAGGCGACGAUGCGUAGGGGUUCUGAGAGGAAGGUCCCUCACACUGGUACUGAGACACGGACCAGACUCCUACGGGAGGCAGCAGUGAGGAAUAUUGGUCAAUGGGCGGGAGCCUGAACCAGCCAAGUCGCGUGAGGGAAGACGGUCCUACGGAUUGUAAACCUCUUUUGCCGGGGAGCAACGGGGUCCUUGCGAGGGCCCGAUGAGAGUACCCGGAGAAAAAGCAUCGGCUAACUCCGUGCCAGCAGCCGCGGUAAUACGGAGGAUGCGAGCGUUAUCCGGAUUUAUUGGGUUUAAAGGGUGCGUAGGCGGGCUGUUAAGUCAGCGGUCAAAUGUCGGGGCUCAACCCCGGCCUGCCGUUGAAACUGGCGGCCUCGAGUGGGCGAGAAGUAUGCGGAAUGCGUGGUGUAGCGGUGAAAUGCAUAGAUAUCACGCAGAACUCCGAUUGCCAAGGCACCCUACCCGCCGCCCGACUGACGCUGAGGCACGAAAGCGUGGGUAUCGAACAGGAUUAGAUACCCUGGUAGUCCACGCAGUAAACGAUGAAUGCUAGCUGUCCGGUUCUACGGGACUGGGUGGCACAGCGAAAGCGUUAAGCAUUCCACCUGGGGAGUACGCCGGCAACGGUGAAACUCAAAGGAAUUGACGGGGGCCCGCACAAGCGGAGGAACAUGUGGUUUAAUUCGAUGAUACGCGAGGAACCUUACCCGGGCUCAAACGCCAAAGGACAGCCGUUGAAAGGCGGCCUCCCUCCGGGGUCUUUGGCGAGGUGCUGCAUGGUUGUCGUCAGCUCGUGCCGUGAGGUGUCGGCUUAAGUGCCAUAACGAGCGCAACCCCCAUCGACAGUUGCUAACGGGUAGAGCCGAGGACUCUGUCGAGACUGCCGGCGCAAGCUGCGAGGAAGGCGGGGAUGACGUCAAAUCAGCACGGCCCUUACGUCCGGGGCGACACACGUGUUACAGUGGCCGGUACAGCGGGAUGCCAGGGCGCGAGCCCGAGCGGAACCCGAAAACCGGUCUCAGUUCGGAUUGGAGUCUGCAACCCGACUCCAUGAAGCUGGAUUCGCUAGUAAUCGCG